Non-coding RNA from Callithrix jacchus (white-tufted-ear marmoset), 2301 nucleotides. Lineage: Eukaryota; Metazoa; Chordata; Mammalia; Primates; Cebidae. The record is from RefSeq and is a predicted model, not a curated record.
CACCCACAAACACACCCGCAGCCUGCCUGUGACCUGCAGAUGUCACAUCCCUGACCGACCGUCGCGGGGAGAAGGUGGUGCUCUCUACCCUACACUGAGGAAAACUCGUUUAUAAACUCUGCCUCCUCUGUCUCCAGGGACAUGUUCACUCAUUGGCCUCAGCUGAAAAAUGGCUUCCUUGAUCUGGACAACAUGCCUAAAUACUACUACCCACCUCCGGGUUAUUGCAGAGCUGGAAGGGGUGAUGCAGAAACAGCGCCGUGCACAGUGCCUGGCACCGAGUAAUAAAUCGUAAUCAGUAUUGAUUGUUUGCCAUGUGCUAGGUACUGCUCAAAGCAUUUCACAUGGGUUAUCGCAUUUCAAUCUCACAACGACCCUUCGAGGUGGAACACCUUCAUUUCCAGAGAGGAUGCAGAGGAUGAAAGGAUUCAGCCCAGAACCACCAGCUCCUCCUCCAGCCCCCUCUGCCCUGGUUCCUGGGUCUCAUCCCAGCCAGAUGGGGCUUGAGCAGGGAUCAAGGGUUUGGAAACAUGCUGGAAACCAGAUGCUGUGGCGGAGCUGUGCCUUCCCAGGGGAUCUUUGAGUGUUGGGCUGACACCAUGGAAACAAAGAAGCACCUGGCUGUGGACAGAGGAGGGUGUGUCCCCCCACUCACCACCACUUUGUUGAGAUGAGACUUUGCACCUACACCCCUCCCACUGAGACUACAGCCACUGAGUUUCUGCCAUGCUCACUACCAUCAGCAGCAAAGGUCCUUUGUCCUGGGAGAAAGAAGGUCCUGCUCUCUGGUAAUCCCAACAGAAGAAAAGAGGCUUACUGCCAUGAGUUUUCUUAUGAUUAAAUGUGAAACACACAUCAACGCACUCCCUGAAAUUGUGUGAAAGAUCUGAAAGACCCUCUGAAUUCUCUAUGGUGGGAAGAUUAACUUGGGAUGUGGAAAAGAGAAAAGUGGCUCAGGGCCCUUUUCUGUGGAGCACAGAGGCCAGACUGGCACCCCCAGUUCAGAUCUGAGGACAGGGAGGAAGGUCACUCAACAUGGCAGGUACCCAAUGGACUCUUAGGGGCAGGGAUGCCUUUCUGUGAUCCACAUUAUCAGGCCUCCCAAAAAAACUUCAGGAAGGUCUGCAUGAUUUGUCUUUGUGAGGGUGGGAUUUUGGGAAAAAUCAGGAAGGAGGCUGAGGGCACAUUUGGUCAGCACCAGGGCAGAGACAGAGAAGCAUCCGUGAAACAUGGAACAAGGAAGCAGAAUUCAGCCGAGUUGGGAGCCAGAGCCAGCGACUACUGUGGGAACACAAAUCUUCCUGCGAACGUGCGGGAAGACAAGUCCUGGAAGACAUUUCCAGGACUUAAUUAAGACUAGAGACAAUUUUUGUAGCUCUUAAGAGGCAGAGGCCAUUCUACUGCUAUCUGGAUUGUAGAAAAUUAUUAUGAUUCUUAUUUUAGAAAUGAGAAAGUUGAGAAAUUUAGGUAAAGGGCCCAGAGCUACUAAAAGCCAGUGAUCAGAAGCAGCCAACACCAGGAGGUGGCUGACAAAAAGCCUGGUCCCAGAUGGUGCUGGAGGAAACAGCACGUUCAGACCAAGGAGGGGGCAAUGGGCUCACUGUUCCCUCUGUUCACAGCACUGUGGUGUGGGGCACUCACUCUGGGAAAGACCUUGACACAACAGGGCACGCCCAAAGGUGGCUCCCUGGACAAACUCAGAUCUGAUGAAUCCAAGGCGGGAUUGAUGCAGAAAUGGGGUUGCUUUGGCCUGAAGGAUGGGAAGCUGGGGUGGAUUGUGGGGGAUAGAAGAGGAUGAGCAGUGUCCUCAAGAACUGAAGGCACAGAGGGACAGAAGGAGACUUCUGUGGAAGCUCAGGCUGGGGAAUUGGCAGGAGGAGGACCUACGGGUAGAAUCUCAGAAAAGCAGAUUUUAGUUCUGUAUAAGAAGGAACUUCAGAGGACUCUCGUAAAAAGCAAAAAGGCAAAGGUAGCAGCUACUUUACUGAGUCACCUCCACUUAAGUAUGACUUUUUGGUGUUCAAAACUACUUCGUAUCUAAUCUUAACACAUAUUCGACAAUUUAGAAAACGAUGGAGAAGAUGCCAGAAAUCAUCUCUAAUACUACUAUCUAGAAAUAAUCAUGACAAUCACUAAUAGCCUUCAAGUAUUUCUUUCAAGAUAUCCAUCUAGGAUCCCAACACGAUAGAAAUGAUGAACCCUCAGGCAGUGAUGGAUAUUCCCAACACCCUGCCUUGACCAUGACACAUUCUAUGUGUCAUGCAAUGUAAUAUCACAUGUACCCCACACAUACAUACAAUA